CGCAACAUCACUGCAAACACUCUAGCAGUGCUAGAAGCCAUGGCUGCACACAAUGUGAGGACUCUCAUCUACUCCAGCACAUGUGCGACCUAUGGAGAGCCUGACAAGAUGCCCUCGCUGAAGGAACUCCCCAGGUCAGCAGUUCAGUUAUGAUUUCUGAAACCAUUAGUUCCUUUCUAAAAUCAAGUUGAACGCCUCUCUAGCUAGCAUUAACAAAAAAAUGAGGUUGAAGUUUACAAACUUCACUUCUGGUUCAGGAACACGGCUUUCUUCAACACUUCGUAAGUGGAUUAUUUCCUAUCCAGAAUUUGUCAUAACCAUUACUAGGCAGAAAUCAUCAUUUGGUUUCAUAAUUUGCUAACUGUAGUAAAUGAUUAAUUAAACAAGCAAGGAGUGUACAAUUUUCCUUAGCCUGUUUCUACUACUAAUUAUUGUUUUUGAACUGGUAUUUUCAUUUUCUUUGUGCAAUCCAACUACUACAUCUAUCACUCCAGUAUCAUCCCGAACGUUUCAAUUUCAAAUAUGUACCCUAUAGUAGUCUGGAGUUGCACAUAUAUAUUUUAGAUCCCGAGCCCAAAAUCUUUUAGAUCCCAGUUCAUACCAAUUUAAUGUUAAGUUUGCCCCCACAACUGAUCUCGAUUUCUAUUCUCAGCAUUAUAUUGGUGAUAUCUCAGAGUUGGAUGCAUUGGAAGGCUUUGCUAAAGGUUUUCCUGGUUUUUAUCAUAGAUCUGUGCAUAAGAUUUGUCUUGAUUUUUUGUUUGUUUCAGAGAAAGCAGUAUUCUAACAUGGCAUGUUCCUACCUUGUUUUCUUAUUUGUCUGUGUUGUCUCCUGCAUGUUCUACACAAAAUCUUUGUACCCACAAUCUUUGUAUUCUAACAUCGAUAAGUGCCCAAAAUCUUUGUAUGCUUCUAAACAGACCUUUGGUAUUGUUGUACACAUUGGAUUCAAUACCACUUCUGUUGUCCCGGUAAGUAAUUGUCCAUAUUUAUAUUAUUAAGGGUUUUCAAUUAUUUACAGUGUGUUCCCAUGUGUUUGGUGAACAUUAGCCAUGUUGUUUGGCAUAUACAUCUUUCAGCUGCACUUAUCAUGUCGUUCACAUUUCACCAUUUUGAAGUGGAUCUGAAGUCACAUUGUUAUUUUUUUUGUAUUGAUCUACUACUACUGUCGGGGGCAUAAUUAGGGGUACCCUCAAGACUCCUAAUUCUCAGCUGGUAACCCCCAUCAGCAUAAAGCUGCUAAGGCCUGAUGGGUGCGAUUAAGUCAGGGAUCAGUCCAUUCGAGCGACUUGAUCACGCCUCGCCCGAGCCCAGCCUCGGACAAGGGCUGCCGACCCCGGAGGAUUUCCGUCUCGCCCGAGGCCCCCCUCCAACGGCGAACAUAUUUCCGGCUCGCCCGAGGCCCUGCCUUCACUAAGAAGCAACCCUGACUAAAUCGCCGCACCGACCGACCAAGUCGCAGGAGCAUUUAAUGCAAAGGUGGCCUGACACCUUUAACCUGACGCGCGCCCUCCGGCAGAGCCGAAGUGACCGCCGUCACUUCGCCGCUCCACUGACCGGCCUGACAGAAGGACAGCGCCGCCUGCGCCACUCCGACUGCAGUACCAUUUGACAGAGUGAGGCUGACAGGCAGUCAGGCCCUGCCGAAGGCACCAUAGGAAGCUCCGCUUCGCCCGACCCAGGGCUCGGACUCGGGCUCAGUCCCGGAAGACGGCGAACUCCGCUCCGCCCGACCUAGGGCUCGGACUCGGGCUCAGUCCCGGAAGACGGCAAACUCCGCUCCGCCCAACCCAGGGCUCGGACUCGGGCUAAGUCCCGGAAGACGGCGAACUCCGCUCCGCCCGACCCAGGGCUCGGAUUCGGGCUCAGCCCCAGAAGACGACGAACACCGCUUCGCCCGACCCCAGGUAUCAGACUCCGCCCUGGCCUCUGCCGACGACCUCCACCUCGCCCGACCCAGGGGCUCGGACUCGGCCUCGACCAUGGAAGACAGACUCGACCUCGGCUUCGGAGGAGCCUCCACAUCGCCCAACCUAGGGCGCAGGCCAGCCACGUCAACAGGAGGCGCCAUCAUCACCCUACCUCGAGCUGACUCGGGCCACAGGGAACAAGACCGGUGUCCCAUCUGGCUAGCUCCGCCAUAUAGGCAAUGAUGGCGCCCCACAUACUCUGUGACGACGGCGGCUCUCAGCCCCCUUACAGAAGCAAGAGGACGUCAGCAAGGACCCAACCGCUCCGACAGCUGUCCCUCCGCGAGGCUCCAUCGCUCCUCCGACGGCCACGACAUCACACCAGCUGGGCGCCAAGAUCUCUCCGGCUGCCACAUCGGCAUGUACUUAGGGCGCUAGCUCUCCCCCGCUAGACACGUAGCACUCUGCUACACCCCCAUUGUACACCUGGAUCCUCUCCUUACGCCUAUAAAAGGAAGGACCAGGGCCCUCUCAGAGAGGGUUGGCCGCACGGGGACGAGGACGAGACAGGCGCUCUCUUGGGGCCGCUCGCUUCCCUCUCCCGCGUGGACGCUUGUAACCCCCUACUGCAAGCGCACCCGACCUGGGCGCGGGACAAACACGAAGGUCGCGGGAUUCCCACCUCUCUCACGCCGGACUCCGGCCGCCUCGCUCUCCCCCCUUCGCGCUCGCCCUCGCUCUCGACCUAUCUGGGCUGGGGCACGUGGCGACACUCACUCGUCGGCCCAAGGGACCCCCCGGUCUUGAAACACCGACAGUUGGCGCGCCAGGUAGGGGCCUGUUGCGUGUUGACGAACAGCUUCCCAUCAAGCUCCAGAUGGGCAGUCUCCAGCAACCUCUCCAACCCGGGACGGUGCUCCGUUUCGGGAGUCUUGAGUUCAUGUCCCUCGACGGCAGCUACGACAUGAUACUCCUUCCACCGCCGCGCGACAACGACAAUGGCGGCCGACAACCCGCCCGCCGGCGGCGGAACCGACGACGUCUUCCCCGCAUGGUGGAAGAACAACUCUCGACUUCGUCCUGCCUUCUUCCCCGCCAACGGAGGGGAAGGCAGAGCAACCAAGGCCAAGCAAGAGGCAGCGCCUCGUUGGCUGUCGCGCGAGAAGACAGCGCCGGCACCCCAACGAGGGGCGCACCGGGUAUCGACUUCGCGCCUGAGACGAAGACGAGCGCCGUCUCCCCGCGACACGCCAAUCCCGAGCAAGCGGACGACGCCAGCGCGCUCGCGGAGAGCUUGCUGGACGUCACCCUCGUACCUGAGACGACGGUGCAGUCAGUCCCCGACGUGACUUUGUCGCCGCUCAUCGACCAAGAGGUACCGACCGAUUCCCAUCCCACGUCAUUCGGAUUCAGCCUCAACCCGCCUAGCGACCUUGCUUUGGCAGGCGCUCUCGUAGAGGCGAGUCCAAACCCUCUGGGGUUUCGCAUGCGGUCGCCUUGGGACCGGCUGACGGACGUCUCGACCUACGGGCCCUCUGGGUCCGAGGAAGACGACGAGCCCAGCAUCUGUUGGGAAUUCUCUGGACUUGGCAACCCCAGUGCCAUGCGGGACUUCAUCACCGCAUGUGACUACUGCCUCUCCGACUGUUCCGACGGUAGCCGCAGCCUCGACGACGAGGACUGCGGCCCAAGCCGCGAAUGUUUCCACGUCGAUCUAGGGGGUCCCUCCGAAGGCAAUCAUCUCGGCAUGCCGGGGGACGGUGAUCUCCCUAGGUCGGUGCCCCGCGUUGACAUCCCACGGGAGCUAGCUGUGGUCCCCGCUCAGGCGGGGGGCCAUGACCCACAGCUCGAGCAAAUCCGCGGGGUGCAGGCCAGGCUCGAUGAGGGAACAGGAGCGCUUGAGCCGAUCCGCUGGGACGUCGGGCAGGCAUGGGCGGGCCAACCCCCGGCCGGAGAAAUACGUCAUCUGCCCCAGGGUUUCCAGCACCGCGUCGCCGACGACGCCAGGGUCAGGCCGCCACCCGCAUCUAGUGGCAUCGGCCAGAACCUGGCUGCAGCAGCGAUGCUUCUCCGCGCGAUGCCGGAGCCAUCCACCACCGAGGGUCGGCGAAUCCAGGGGGAGCUCAAGAAUCUCCUGGAAGGCGCCGCGGUCCGACGGGCCGAGAGCUCUGCCUCCCAGAGGCAGGGAUACCCCUCGGAACCUCAUGCCGCGACUUCCCGAUUCAUGCGGGAAGCCUCGGUCUACACCGGGCGCACGCGCAACACCGCGCCUGCGGCCCCGGGCCGCCUCGGCAACGAGCACCAUCACCGCGACCGUCGGGCCCACCUCGACGAGAGGGUGCGCCGAGGCUACCACCCCAGGCGUGGGGGACGCUACGACAGCGGGGAGGAUCGGAGUCCCUCGCCCGAACCGCCCGGUCCGCAGGCCUUCAGCCGGGCCAUCCGACGGGCACCGUUCCCGACCCGGUUCCGACCCCCGACUACUAUCACAAAGUACUCGGGGGAGACGAGACCGGAACUGUGGCUCGCGGACUACCGUCUGGCCUGCCAACUAGGUGGAACGGACGACGACAACCUCAUCAUCCGCAACCUCCCCCUGUUCCUCUCCGACACCGCUCGCGCCUGGUUGGAGCACCUGCCUCCGGGGCAGAUCUCCAACUGGGACGACCUAGUCCAAGCUUUCGCCGGUAAUUUCCAGGGGACGUACGUGCGCCACGGGAAUUCCUGGGACCUCCGAAGCUGCCGGCAGCAGCCGAGAGAGUCUCUCUGAGACUACAUCCGGCGAUUUUCGAAGCAGCGCACCGAGCUGCCCUACAUCACCGACUCGGAUGUCAUCGGCGUGUUCCUCGCCGGCACCACCUGCCGCGACCUAGUGAGCAAGCUGGGUCGCAAGACCCCCACCAGGGCAAGCGAGCUGAUGGACAUCGCCACCAAGUUCGCCUCCGGCCAGGAGGCGGUCGAGGCUAUCUUCCGAAAGGACAAGCAGCCCCAGGGCCGCCCAUCGGAAGAUGCUCCCGAAGCGUCUACUCAGCGCGGCGCCAAGAAGAAAGGCAAGAAGAAGUCGCAAGUGAAACGCGACGCCGCCGACGCGGACCUUGUCGCCGCCACCGAGUACAAGAACCCUCGGAAGCCCCCCGGAGGUGCCAACCUCUUCGACAAGAUGCUCAAGGAGCCGUGCCCCUAUCAUCAGGGGUCCGUCAAGCACACCCUUGAGGAGUGUGUCAUGCUUCGGCGCCACUUCCACAGGGCUGGGCCACCCGCGGAGGGUGGCAGGGCCCGGGACGACGACAAGAAGGAAGAUCACCAAGCAGGAGAGUUCCCCGAGGUCCGCGACUGCUUCAUGAUCUACGAUGGACAAGCGGCGAAUGCCUCGGCUCGGCACCGCAAGCAAGAGCGCCGGGAGGUCUGCUCGGUGAAGGUGGCGGCGCCAGUCUACCUAGACUGGUCCGACAAGCCCAUCACCUUCGACCAAGCUGACCACCCCGACCAUGUGCCGAGCCCGGGGAAAUACCCGCUCGUCGUCGACCCCGUCAUCGGUGACGUCAGGAUCACCAAGGUCCUUAUGGACGGAGGCAGCAGCCUCAACAUCAUCUACACCGAGACCCUCGGGCUCCUGCGCGUCGAUCUGUCCUCCGUCCGAGCAGGCGCUGCGCCCUUCCACGGGAUCAUUCCCGGGAAGCGCGUCCAGCCCCUCGGACGACUCGACCUUCCCGUCUGCUUCAAAACGCCCUCCAACUUCCGAAGGGAGACUCUAACGUUCGAGGUGGUCGGGUUCCGAGGAACCUACCACGCGGUUCUGGGAAGGCCAUGCUACGCGAAGUUCAUGGCCGUCCCCAACUACACCUACCUGAAGCUCAAGAUGCCGGGCCCCAAUGGGGUCAUCACCGUCGGCCCCACGUACAAGCACGCGUUCGAAUGCGACAUGGAGUACACCGAGGCCCUCGCCGAGUCCGAGGCCCUCAUCGCCGACCUGGAAAGCCUCUCCAAAGAGGUGCCAGACGUGAAGCGCCAUGCCGGCAACUUCGAGCCAGUGGAGACGGUUAAGGCCGUCCCCCUCGACCCCAGUGGCGACGUCUCCAAGCAAAUCCGGAUCGGCUCCGGGCUCGAUCCCAAAUAGGAAGCAGUGCUCGUCGACUUCCUUCGCGCGAGCGCCGGCGUCUUCACGUGGAGUCCCACGGACAUGCCCGGCAUACCGAGGGAUGUCGCCGAACACUUGCUGGAUAUUCGGGCCGGAGCCCGACCCGUCAAAUAGUCUCUGCGCCGAUUCAACGAGGAGAAGCACAGAGCGAUAGGCGAGGAGAUCCACAAGCUAAUGGCGGCGAAGUCCAUAAAAGAGGCGAAAAGCGUCAAGCUCAACCCCGAAAGGUGGGUCCUCGGGGUGCCCCAGGGCAUGGUCUUGGGGUUCAUCAUCUCCAAGCGGAGCAUCGAAGCCAACCCGGAGAAGAUCGCGACCAUCGCACAGCACCCCGAGCCCUUGCUGGGGGCACCCGGGGGCUACACGCACCCCCGGGAAAGGCCGCUUGUCAUCGCCAAAGUUCUGGAGCCCGGAACGUACAAGCUGGCCGGCGGUCAAGGCGAGGUCUACGGCAACGCUUGGAACAUCCGACAGCUACGUCGCUUCUACCCUUAAGAUGUUUUCAAGCUGUUCGUAUACCUCGCUCCCACACAAGUCUCAGUCAUCAAGGAAGGGUCAGCCUCGCCUCGGCAGAGCCCGACCCUCCCUCGGGGGCUAAAAAGGGGGGAACCCCUCUACGUCAAGAUUGGGUGUACCUCUCCGCAUCCAAAAUUUUCGGUCAAAAAGGCUUUUGCGUUCUCCCGGCUACGUCAGAAGCAGGGCCCCAAGGAGCGAACGUGGGUGCAUGUAAGUGGCAAGGCCGACUGAGCCAAGGAACUCCUAUGCCUCCGGGUUAGGGACACCUCACUCAUCACCCGCCACGAAAAAUGACCCCUACUCGGGAAGCCACCCUAUUAUUGAUAGGCAAAGCCGGACACGCAAAAUAAAAGGAAGAGGAGUACGACUUCAUGCAAUGGAAACAAAGUGUUCAGGCCUCGGCGGCCGUAGAAAGACACACGCGCAUCCAACAGAAACUGUUCCAACAGAGUUAGGCGUCGCCUUGGGAAGGAGUCGCGCCUUCAGCUCCGUCCCUGCCUUCGGUAAAGUCCAUCUCGGCUUCCGGCGACGGCGCAGGGGGGAGGACCUCCGCCUCAAAGGUGGUCGCCAGCACUGCGCUCGGACCCGCGGCGACCGCGUCGAGCCGCUGGACUUCUACCAGGGCAGCUUCGUCUUCGUCAGGAAGACAAUACCCCUCACUAACCCGCUCCAGGUCCACAACGUAGUGGGAAGCGAGCACGGCGAAGGCCCGCCUGACGCCGUGGUGUAGCGCCUCACGGAGUCUGCCGCACACGUGAUCACCCAAGGCUUGAAGGCGACUUUGAGGGGAGCUUCUUGAGGGGACGUCGCCGGAGCCAAGGAUCCGAUAAACGUCCGAAACGGCUUCGGACAUGGCCGCGAGGUCGGCCUCCCUCUGCUCGGCCGCCCCGGCAAGCGCCUUAGCGGACUCAUCAAGGGCGGACUCGAGCUCUGCGAACAGCCAGAAGAAAGAUCUCAAACACAAGCAGAGGAAACAAACAAGAACGAGAACCAAGGAUGGCCAAGGCGUACCUCCGGCUCGGGCACGCUGCUCCGAGGCCGCGACCUGGGCUACGGCUAAGUCGGCUGCAAGGGUUUCGGCCCGGCUUUCGGCCUCGGCAGCCCGGCCCCGAGAUUGGUCCCGCUCCUCGACGACCUGGUCGAACUCCGACCGCUGCCGUUGCGCCUCUGCGCGCGCCGCGGCCGCCUCCGCGCGCGCCGCUGCCGCCUCGUCUCUCAGGUCAGUGCAGAGCAACUGGAGGUCCGCUACCUCGGCACCCUGCUGAGAAAGGCGCGCAGUAGCCCCGGCGAGCGAGGUCCUCAGGGAUCGCAGCGAGCCCCAGACGUCGACCUUGCGACGGAUGAACGACGACUUGGCGGCGCUCCGAUCCGUCAGAUCCUAAGGGAAGGAAGCGGGGCAUCACGAAGAACGCCUCGGUCACAGAAGAGAAAAGGUAUGCCUAAAACCGUUACCUGAAGGAUUUUGGGGACGUCCCUGCAGAAAACCUCCAGCGACGACCGGAGCGACCCCACCGUUGCUUCAGCACACUCGCAGAGCUCAUCCCAGGACUGGUCCUCCCGUUCAUCGUCGAGAACGAAGACGGGUCCGAGGCCUCACGGGUCCGGAACCGGAGCAACUGGUGCCGGCCCUCGGAGCUCUGCCGCACAGCGACGAGGCUACCGCCCGGUGGGACGGAUCGCGCCUCCACACCCCCCUCUUCCGAGGCACCAAGCGCCGACGCAUCAGCCGUCUCAACGUCGGCAGCAACCGGUCGCUCUCCGACUGGGACGACGGCGACUUUGGUAGCGGCAGGCGCCGGCAUGGCCGGCACGUUCGGUGGGCUCGGGACCACGUCAGCGUCAGCCGCCUCCCCAAUCACAAUGGCCGCCUCGGCAGAAGAGCCAGCCUCGGGAACCUGCUCCACGGCGACCGGUGCCGCCCGAGCCCCCUGCGGUGGAACGCCUUGCGAGAAGGUCGGCUGAACGGCAAGGCCCGGAGCGGCGCUGGUCGCACAGGCCGGCGUCGUCUUAAGGGCCUUCCGGGGUGCCAGGUCGGUCAGGCCAUGGCUUCGCUUGUUGAGGGAAAAGGAAAAGUCACGGCCGGGACAUAUGAAUGGAAAGCCAGGACGAAGACAUUCCGGGAUACUUACCCGCUCCGGGCCAUGAUCCACCGUGCCUGGGGGAAAGUCUCUUGGAUCUCGGCCCCCGGAACCGCCGCCGAGGUCCGCUUCGCCGGCAACUUCGGCACCACCCUUGCUUUGGGCGCCCGGGGGGCAGAUUGCCCAGGCACUGUCACGGUGACUUGAGGGUCGCCUCCCUGCGCUGCCGGCGCGAGCGACGGCUCUCGGGGAGUAGACGCCCUGGCCUGGCCCCCCGGGGUCACCUCAGCUCUUCCAGCCGAGGGGUCAGGUGCCCUCUCGGGUUGCCCCCGCCCCUCGGGCCGGGACCCCGACGCCCCAACUCCGGGGACUGACGGCAUCAACCCGCUCGGGGGCUGGCUUGAUGGCUCCUGGCCAAACCCCAAGCCGGGGCUGAGGCCAAGGCGGGCGGCCAUGUCGUCCUCCUCGUCAUCAUCUUCAUCAUCGUCGUCGUCGUCGGGCGUUUCCGGCGACGGCUCCCUCGGGAGCCCCUCCCUCUCCUGUCGGCGACGAAGCUUUUCCAAGGCGUCUCGAGCCCGCCUCCGCUCGCGGGCCCGGGCCUUCUCCGCGUCCUUCUUCUUCUUCUCCUCCGCGGCGACCCGCCGCGCUGCUCGGUCCACCGCAUCCUGCGGGACCCGUGGCAGGGAAGGCUUGUGCCACCCCACCUCCUGAAGAAGGGGGGAAAACCCCGAUCAUAAGAACCAGGAGCAACCCGAUGUAUGAAGAAGGAAGGAGCAGACACUCACCAGAGUCACGCACCCUCGGUCGGGGCACAUCAAAAGCUGGGAGAAGGCGUGGGGGUCCGGCUUCCCCAACGCGACGGACACCCGCCAUUGGCGGGCGUCGAAGGGAAGAGGAUCGGAGGACAUCCGCGAGCCCUCCCAGUCAGCCUCCGGGGUCAUCUCCCAAAGCGACAGUCGUCGCUCCGCCAAGGGAAGCACCCUCCGACGGUGGAUGGCGGCAAUCACUCCCGCAGCGGUGAGUCCCCCUUUCCGCAACGCCUCCAAGGCCUGGAGAAGGGGUUCGAGGUUCUUCUGUCUUUCGUGCGGGGUCCCGUGGCGCCAAGCAUCGGUGGCAGUGGUGACUACUCGCUGGGAGAACGGCGGGAGCAACUCGCCGUCAUUCCGGAGGUAGAACCACCGGCGCUGCCACCCCUUGUUCGAGGACGCGAGGAUGGCAGGAAUAUACUGUGACGCCCGCGACUGCCUCAGCAGGAGGGUACAGCCGCCGGCCCGCACUGCUGCGCGGACUUUUCUCUCCCCCGUCGGCGAGGCAAAAAGCUCCGCGAAAAAGAGAUGGGUCCACAAAUCCCAAUGGGGGGCGAUCCCCAAGUACCCCUCGCACACCGCUACGAAGAUGAUGGCCUGCGAGAUGGAGUUGGGGGUGAGGUUGUGCAACUCCACCCCAUAGUGGUACAGGAUCGCCCGCAUAAAGCGGCCCGCCGGCACACCAAAUCCCCGCUCGUGGAAGGAGACGAAGCUCACGAUGUACCCCGGCGGUGGGGACAGAGCGGCUCCGCCCACGGGAGGAAUCCAUUCCGGUCGCUGCUCAUCGGUGAGAGGGCGAAGCAAACCCUCGCCGACCAGAUCCUCCAGAUCACUCGCCGUCACCGUAGAAAAAGGCCAUGGAUCGCGCGGCGAGAUGAUGGUCACCCGGUCAGCCAUCACUGAGCGGAAGGGAUGGCGGCGCAAGGGGCAGGAAGGGCGGUUUCCUCUUCUCUGGCUAAGUCUCUCGGGUUGCGAAAACCUAAGAGGGAGGCAGGAAGCAGUGCAAUGAACCGUCACCAGACCCUCUCCCGGGUAUAUAAAGACCAAGGCGAGACCGGUUCCAACGUUCCGCCUGGACCGGACGCGGGAUUCAAAAACGCGAAGCGAAACAGCCGUUCCUCGAACGGCUCGCGCACGCGCAACGGCCGCCCCACCAACCACUCGCCCCGUCGCAUUAACUUCGCGGCGGGACAGGCGGCGCUCCUGGCAGGAGAAGCGGGCGACGCUUCGCCUUCGCCGUAAUAACCGCGCCAAAAAAGGUACGCCGUGUCGUUCGAUUUCGUAUCCUUUUCCUUUUUUCCUCUUUCUCUCUCUCUUGCAACAGGGACCGGGAAAGGGGGAUACCCCGAAAAGGAUCCUUCCCCGUGAAGGAACCGGGCUCCGAGCCUCCCUACUGAUCAGAGGUUCGAAGGCUGGCCCCCCGAAGGGUUCGACAGCCGCCUAAGAUCGUGUGGGCCCUACACCCACUACUGGUCAGAGGUUCGAAGGCCGCCCCCCCGAAGGGUUCCACGGCCGCCUCAGGCUACUCGGGCUCCGCGCCCAUUACUGAUCAGGGGUUCGAAGGCUGGCCCCCGAAGGGUUCACAGCCGCCUCAGACGCCGAGCGAGGGAUGACCAUGGGUACGUUUGAUACAUAACCAAGGCUCGGGCUGCGCUUCCGAGGUACCCUAGGACAUUUCCGAGACCAGCGGGAGCGAUCUUGUAAUGGAAUCCCAUCAGAGGGAGGCAUCGAGCCCUCGGACCCCGUCGCCAGGGGACCGGGUCUGGCAGAUCACCCGCAGGUACUUUUGGGCGUGCCUCUGGGCCUCUAGCCGACCCCUAACGAACGGGGCACGGACGUCCACUCGGAUUACCCGCUUGCAGCUCACCGGAGACACCAUGUUCGGCGCCCAUCGAGGGCAACAUGGCGCUUUCCCCCCCUCCUCCUUGCGGAAAGGCGACGCAGGGGCGUAUGUAAAAAAGCCAAGUCUGUCCCUGAUCACCCUCUCGCCCUGUGCAGAGGCUCAGGGGCUGCUCUCGCAAACCCGGCUCCGGCCGAACCGUUGACAGCGUCAACAUAUCAGCCCGAGAACUUGGGACCCGACCGUACACCCGGGCUACGGCCAGCUCGCAUGAGGGAACAACCAGACCAGCCGAAGCAUUGUGCGAGGCAUUAAGACCUCGAAGGAGUGAAACCACUCCUCCGAGGCCUCGGGGGCUACACCCGGCGGGUGCGCUCGCGCGCACCCACCGGAACAAAAUGCAACCGAGAAAGGCUGGUCCCCUUGCAAAAAAGUGCGACGAAAGCCUCCAAGCGAGUGCUAACACUCCCUUCGAGGCUCGGGGGCUACUGUCGGGGACCAUAAUUAGGGGUACCCUCAAGACUCCUAAUUCUCAGCUGGUAACCCCCAUCAGCAUAAAGCUGCUAAGGCCUGAUGGGUGCGAUUAAGUCAGGGAUCAGUCCAUUCGAGCGACUUGAUCACGCCUCGCCCGAGCCCAGCCUCGGACAAGGGCUGCCGACCCCGGAGGAUUUCCGUCUCGCCCGAGGCCCCCCUCCAACGGUGAACAUAUUUCCGGCUCGCCCGAGGCCCUGCCUUCGCUAAGAAGCAACCCUGACUAAAUCGCCGCACCGACCGACCAAGUCACAGGAGCAUUUAAUGCAAAGGUGGCCUGACACCUUUAUCCUGACGCGCGCCCUCCGGCAGAGCCGAAGUGACCGCCGUCACUUCGCCGCUCCACUGACCGGCCUGACAGAAGGACAGCGCCGCCUGCGCCACUCCGACUGCAGUACCAUUUGACAGAGUGAGGCUGACAGGCAGUCAGGCCCUGCCGAAGGCACCAUAGGAAGCUCCGCUUCGCCCGACCCAGGGCUCGGACUCGGGCUCAGUCCCAGAAGACGGCGAACUCGGCUCCGCCCGACCCAGGGCUCGGACUCGGGCUAAGUCCCGGAAGACGGCGAACUCCGCUCCGCCCGACCCAGGGCUCGGACUCGGGCUAAGUCCCGGAAGACGGCGAACUCCGCUCCGCCCGACCCAGGGCUCGGACUCGGGCUAAGUCCCGGAAGACGGCGAACUCCGCUCCGCCCGACCCAGGGCUCGGACUCGGGCUAAGUCCCGGAAGACGGCGAACUCCGCUCCACCCGACCCAGGGCUCGGAUUCGGGCUCAGCCCCAGAAGACGACGAACAUCGCUUCGCCCGACCCCAGGGAUCGGACUCCGCCCUGGCCUCUGCCGACGACCUCCGCCUCGCCCGACCCAGGGGCUCGGACUCGGCCUCGGCCAUGGAAGACAGACUCGACCUCGGCUUCGGAGGAGCCUCCACAUCGCCCAAUCUAGGGCGCAGGCCAGCCACGUCAACAGGAGGCGCCAUCAUCACCCUACCCCGAGCUAACUCGGGCCGCAGGGAACAAGACCGGUGUCCCAUCUGGCUAGCUCCGCCAGAUAGGCAAUGAUGGCGCCCCGCAUACUCUGUGACGACGGCGGCUCUCAGCCCCCUUACGGAAGCAAGAGGACGUCAGCAAGGACCCAACCGCUCCGACAGUUGUCCCUCCGCCAGGCUCCAUCGCUCCUCCUACGGCCACGACAUCACACCAGCUGGGCGCCAAGAUCUUUCCGGCUGCCACAUCGACAUGUACUUAGGGUGCUAGCUCUCCCCCGCUAGACACGUAGCACUCUGCUACACCCCCCAUUGUACACCUGGAUCCUCUCCUUACGCCUAUAAAAGGAAGGACCAGGGCCCUCUCAGAGAGGGUUGGCCGCGCGGGGACGAGGACGAGACAGGCGCUCUCUUGGGGCCGCUCGCUUCCCUCUCCCGCGUGGACGCUUGUAACCCCCUACUGCAAGCGCACCCGACCUGGGCGCGGGACGAACACGAAGGCCACGGGAUUCCCACCUCUCUCACGCCGGACUCCGGCCGCCUCGCUCUCCCCCCUUCGCGCUCGCCCUCGCGCUCGACCCAUCUGGGCUGGGGCACGCGGCGACACUCACUCGUCGGUCCAAGGGACCCCCCGGUCUCGAAACGCCGACAACUACCUUGUCAAUUGUUUGUAUUUUCUAAAUUUUUAGGGAGUUCCAAUGUUCUACAUGGGCGAUGAAUAUGGUCACACAAAGGGAGGGAACAACAAUACAUACUGCCAUGACCAUUAUGUCAGUCCGAUGCCAGCACAUAUUAACACAUUGUUUUAAUCAAUUUCUUUGACAUUCUUGUAAUUUUCUAGCCUUUUAAUUUGGUUGUGCAGGUCAAUUAUUUCCGUUGGGAUAAGAAGGAAGAACAAUCCUCUGAUUUGUACAGAUUCUGCCGCCUCAUGACCAAAUUCCGCAAGGAAUGUGAAUCCCUUGGCCUUGAGGACUUCCCGACUUCAGAACGGUUGCGAUAGCACGAUCAUCAGCCCGGGAAGCCUGACUGGUCAGAGGCAAGCCGAUUCGUUGCCUUCACCAUGAAGGACGAAACCAAAGGCGAGAUCUACGUGGCCUUCAACACCAGUCACCUGCCGGUGGUCGUCGGGCUUCUAGAGCGCUCUGGGUUCCGAUGGGAGCCGGUGGUGGACACCGGCAAGGAGGCACCAUAUGACUUCCUCACCGAUGGCCUGCCAGAUCGUGCUGUCACCGUCUACCAGUUCUCUCAUUUCCUCAACUCCAAUCUCUAUCCUAUGCUCAGCUACUCCUCCAUCAUCCUUGUAUUGCGCCCUGAUGUCUGAAAGAAACGGAUACAAUAGAGUAUAUUGUAGCCGUAGUAUAUAUUUUCUUUGACUUUUCUUUGACUUCCUUUUGUAGAUCUGCCAAACACAAACACAACUAAGCAAUGUAGCACAUACUAUUGGCACGACCCUCCACUCAUUUACAUUCUAAAUUUUAUAUUUUUUUAUAGUUCCUGAAUUUGAUCGCUCCUAAAUACUU
RNA transcript from Zea mays, 14315 nucleotides. RefSeq lists it as uncharacterized. The record is from RefSeq and is a predicted model, not a curated record. Lineage: Eukaryota; Viridiplantae; Streptophyta; Magnoliopsida; Poales; Poaceae. The transcript is spliced from 3 exons.